RNAcentral lists this ribosomal RNA (451 nucleotides) under uncultured bacterium. RNAcentral describes it as "bacterial SSU rRNA". It matches the Rfam family "Bacterial small subunit ribosomal RNA", at positions 28 to 507 of the family's 1533-position model. The record is from RNAcentral.
GACGAACGCUGGCGGCGUGGAUUAGGCAUGCAAGUCGGACGGUAGGGCUUUAUCGUAAGAUAGAGUUUGAGAGUGGCGAACGGGUGAGUAACACGUAGGAAUCUACCUUGUAGUGGGGGAUAAGCCAGGGAAACUUGGACUAAUACCGCAUACGCCCUAAGGGGGAAAGGCGCAAGUCGCUAUAAGAUGAGCCCGCGUCUGAUUAGGUAGUUGGUGGGGUAAAGGCCUACCAAGCCGACGAUCAGUAGCUGGUCUGAGAGGAUGAUCAGCCACGUCGGGACUGAGACACGGCCCGGACUCCUACGGGAGGCAGCAGUCGGGAAUAUUGGACAAUGGGGGAAACCCUGAUCCAGCAAUACCGCGUGUGUGAAGAAGGCCUGCGGGUUGUAAAGCACUUUCAGUUGGGAAGAUAAUGACGUUACCAACAGAAGAAGCACCGGCUAACUCCGUG